GGGCUCCUCUUAGAGUUCUUGCCAGCCCUAGCCAGGGAUGGGCUCUUUGUUAUGCUGAGGGUUUGCACGGCCAUCUCGGAACUCAAGAAAAGAGUUAUAAUUUUAAGUGCACGUCUCUCCCAAACAUUAACCCUAUCAUGGUUUUUAAGUCUGCAGGUUUGGUUUUUCCAGCUUUGCAUGUCCUUUUUCCCGCCUUGUAUUUAAUACCUUCCGUCUUCCAGAAGAGCCGGUCAUGGUCCUCCGACAGUAACUGCUGGUCACAAGUACUGAUGCUUCCUCAUAUCUAUAGCUUCUCUGCCUCACAUUCAAGGAAGCACUGAUCACCCUCCAAGAGGAGGAAGAAAAGAGAUGCUAAGGCACCACCCACUGAUUUUUUUUUUAAGUAAGUCUCUUUCCUUCUUAUUUCAAAGUGUAUUAUCUCAUGAUCAGAACUCAUUAUCGCU
RNAcentral lists this long non-coding RNA (443 nucleotides) under Capra hircus (goat). Its description in RNAcentral is "lncRNA (ENSCHIG00000007590.1)". The record is from RNAcentral. Lineage: Eukaryota; Metazoa; Chordata; Mammalia; Artiodactyla; Bovidae.